RNAcentral lists this ribosomal RNA (478 nucleotides) under uncultured bacterium. Its description in RNAcentral is "bacterial SSU rRNA". It matches the Rfam family "Bacterial small subunit ribosomal RNA", at positions 24 to 518 of the family's 1533-position model. The record is from RNAcentral.
UCAGGACGAACGCUGGCGGCGUGCUUCAUACAUGCAAGUCGAACGAGAAGCUGACUUCGGUCAGUGGAAAGUGGCGGACGGGUGAGUAAUAUGUAGAGAAUCUGCCCUUGAGAGGGGGACAACAGUUGGAAACGACUGCUAAUACCCCAUAUGAGCGUAGCUGAAAUGCUAUUCUUGAAAAACUCCGGUGCUCAAGGAUGAGUCUGCAUCUGAUUAGCUAGUUGGUGGUGUAAUGGACUACCAAGGCGACGAUCAGUAGCUGGUUUGAGAGGAUGAUCAGCCACAAUGGGACUGAGACACGGCCCAUACUCCUACGGGAGGCAGCAGUAGGGAAUUUUGCGCAAUGGGGGGAAAAACCCCUGACGCAGCAACGCCGCGUGAACGAGACGCCCUUCGGGGUGUAAAGUUUUGUCAGUGGGGACGAACAAAUGACGGUACCCACAGAGGAAGCACCGGCUAACUCCGUGCCAGCCGCUGC